Molecule: ribosomal RNA, 371 nt
Filed under: uncultured eukaryote
Lineage: Eukaryota
Description: SSU rRNA
Rfam family: Eukaryotic small subunit ribosomal RNA
Source: RNAcentral
CCAGCAGCCGCGGUAAUUCCAGCUCCAAUAGCGUAUAUUAAAGUUGUUGCAGUUAAAAAGCUCGUAGUUGAAUUUCUGGAAAGUUCAUGCUGACUGGUUUUGACCGGUCAUGUAUGUCCUUUCCAUCCUCACGGGGAAGGCCCAGUUCUAGCAAUAGUCUGGUGUCCGGAACCGUGUCAUUUACUGUGAAAAAAUUAGAGUGUUUAAAGCAGGCGUUUUCGCUUGAAUACAUUAGCAUGGAAUAAUAAGAUAGGACUUCGGUCUAUUUUGUUGGUUGCGGCCCGAGGUAAUGAUUAAUAGGGAUAGUUGGGGGUAUUCAUAUUUAAUUGUCAGAGGUGAAAUUCUUGGAUUUAUUAAAGAUGAACGACUGC